AUGCUUGUGGUGGUUGGCCACAUCCCAGCAGCGUGUGGGAGCCGCUGUUUUCAGUCAGAGCUGGGUCUCCUUGCCAUUCAUCAACAGCCUGUCUGCAUAAAGAUGAAGGCGGUGAAGAGGAUACAUGAGCGGUCAAGUCGGCGUGAGGUGGAGAAGAUGUGGCGUUUCUGUCGGCGGCGCUGGGCUAGCAACAUCAGGCAGUGGACUACGGGGAGCUGCCGCGGGUGGUGGCUACAGUUUCCACGAGAGUGGGGUGGGGGUGGCACACGUGGGGGCGACGACAGCAAGUGGAUCCACACAGCUGAGAUGCACAACAACUCCGAGAAGGCCACAACAACAGAGGAGUGGGAUCGGCGAGAAGAUUGA
This 366-nucleotide ribosomal RNA is filed under the name Triticum aestivum (bread wheat). Its description in RNAcentral is "partial small subunit ribosomal RNA". The record is from RNAcentral. Lineage: Eukaryota; Viridiplantae; Streptophyta; Magnoliopsida; Poales; Poaceae.